Molecule: ribosomal RNA, 802 nt
Filed under: uncultured bacterium
Lineage: Bacteria
Description: bacterial SSU rRNA
Rfam family: Bacterial small subunit ribosomal RNA
Source: RNAcentral
AGAGUUUGAUUCUGGCUCAGGAUGAACGCUAGCGACAGGCCUAACACAUGCAAGUCGAGGGGUAACAGGGAGCUUGCUCCGCUGACGACCGGCGCACGGGUGAGUAACGCGUAUGCAACCUUCCUGCGGGAUCGGGAUAGCCCCCCGAAAGGGGGAUUAACACCGGAUGAGUCAGACGCCUGGCAUCGGGGGUCUGGCAAAUGCGAAGCCUGCGGAUGGGCAUGCGUCCCAUUAGGAAGCUGGCGGGGUAACGGCCCACCAGUCCGACGAUGGGUAGGGGUUCUGAGAGGAAGGUCCCCCACAUUGGUACUGAGACACGGACCAAACUCCUACGGGAGGCAGCAGUGAGGAAUAUUGGUCAAUGGGCGAGAGCCUGAACCAGCCAUGUCGCGUGCGGGAUACGGCCCUAUGGGUCUUAAACCGCUUUUGCCGGGGGAUAAAGUCGUCCACGCGUGGAUGAUUGCAGGUACCCGGCGAAUAAGGAUCGGCUAACUCCGUGCCAGCAGCCGCGGUAAUACGGAGGAUCCGAGCGUUAUCCGGAUUUAUUGGGUUUAAAGGGUGCGCAGGCGGCACGUCAAGUCUGCGGUGAAAUGUCAGGGCUCAACCUUGGCACCGCCAUGGAAACUGACGGGCUAGAGUGCGUUUGGGGGUCGUGGAAUGUGCGGUGUAGCGGUGAAAUGCAUAGAUAUCGCACAGAACGCCGAUCGCGAAGGCAGCGACCCAAGCCGCAACUGACGCUCAGGCACGAAAGCGCGGGGAUCGAACAGGAUUAGAUACCCUGGUAGUCCGCGCAGUAAACGAU